GGGCAGGAGAAGAGACUCGAGCGGCACCCGAGCCGCAUCCACGCCGCCCGCCCGCCCCUGGGGUCUGGGUAGGUAACGGGCCCGGCGGGAAGGAGGGGCUCCCAGGCCGUCCCUCCCAGCGCUCACCUCAGCUCCUCGUCGACAUUCCCGCGGGGCUGUUCGGCCGACGCCACCAUAGAGGAAGUCGUAGAGGUCUUGUUCUUCAAGAUCCCCUUGAUGGGCCGGUGCGAGGCCGUCGAGGCCGCCAUUGCCGGGCGCUCCGGCUGUCGGCUCAGGGUCGCUGCUUGGCGUGGGGUCCGCGAAGAGAAGGGUCGGCACAGCAGAGACUCGCAGGCAGCCGCAGAUCCCGCUCAGGGCUAAAGCGGCCGCAACUGCUGCCUCGGAAACGGCUACCGCAGCGGUUGUCACGACACAACGACCCCGACGCCAGAGCCAACGCCGAACGGGUGGCGGCUACUCGCGCACCCUUAGCCACUGGCACUUGACCCGCGGCUCGCGGAGAGACGCCGGCCUAGAGCUCCAGCGCAGGAGCGACGCGACGCCGAAGCCAAGCGGACCCGCCCUCUCGCGAUAUCUAGGGAGGAGGCGGGGAGAGGGCGGGGCGAGAACAAAGCCGACCUCCUCGCCCCGCCCCCUCCGUCCCGCCCGGGCUGCUCGCCCCGCCCCCGCGCGGCGCUGGGAGGCGGGAGCUGUCUCUGAGAACCUGCGGGAGAGCGCCCGGGCUUGCUGCUUCCCGGACCCGCGCGUCUCUCGAGCACCCUCGUCCCACCACCUUGUGAGGCCGUAGUGUUAUUUUUAUUUUUUAGAUCAGCAGACUGAGACUCGAGGUGACGUCACUCCGCAGAGAGGUUAGCUGACUUGAAGAAAACGGGUAUCUCCUCUUUCCAUUUCGCCCGUGUAAACAGCCGAACUGCCUAUUAUAAAAGCAUGGACUGCCAGCAUUGGAGUGGUCCUUAGAGGCCUAUUAUGAAAUCAUAGAAUGUCUGCAUUGGAAUCGCCUCACCUCCUUUUACCGCUGGAGAAGCCGACGGACAGACGGGCAGCGACCCCCGCCGUCGCACAACCCGUCUAGGCAGAGAGCGCAGGAGACGGGAGGGCGGCAGGGACACAUCUCCCAGCCAAGGACCUCCUGGGCCCGCAGAGGCCGCGACAGGUUCCCCCCACAGAGGGAACCAACUCUGCCGCAGGUUGAUGUGGACUUCAAGCCUGCAGAACGGAGAGCCCAUUUCCAUUGCUUAAAGCCACCUCGUGUGUGGUAUUUGUUAUGGUCCCUGUACACUCCCUUCCCUCCCUCUCCCAAGUCCAGUCCGCAGCUCGCUCAUCACCAGGCUCUUUUCCAUGACUCUUUCUUGAUCAGGCCUUUUUAUCGUCCUCACCACAGGUAAUCCCUCCCCGGAAAGAGAAGAUCACAGAUUUUGUCAUAUUAAAUACAUUGUAGAAAUUCAUGGUAGCAGGGGCAAGAUCAUUUAAACAAAACAGAAAGUUUCAGAGAGAGAAAAAGCCAAGGACAAAGAUUAAUCAUUUUUCUGCUUAAAAAAAAUGGCUUUGAUUUGCAACCAUGGAAUGCUCCACUGUUUCUCUUCUCUUCAAAGACAUCUACUGAAAGGAUUCCUUAACCUUACCAAGUGGCCAAAAUACUUUUCUGAGAAGAGUCACAGAGCAUAGGCCCCCCUAGGGUACACAGAGAUUUCAUUAGUCCCUAGAUGUUUCCUGAUCCUUUUAAAAACUGGUUAAAUUCAGAGACUCUAGGCAAUUACUUCUUUCAGAACCUGUGAGGCAAAAACGAAAGAAGAAGGCAGGACACGCAGUGUAACAAACCUUGGAAUGAUUGGUCUGAGGACUCCGCUUUCUUCACUGCCCAUUCAUCUUCAUACUGUUCUCAUAUUUUUUUUUAAAUUGGGAUAUGCAAUGAUCCUUAGUUUAUAAAUUCAACUCCACUUUGCCACA
RNAcentral lists this long non-coding RNA (1947 nucleotides) under Homo sapiens (human). Its description in RNAcentral is "HSALNT0317440". Lineage: Eukaryota; Metazoa; Chordata; Mammalia; Primates; Hominidae. The record is from RNAcentral.